AUUGAACGCUGGCGGCAGGCCUAACACAUGCAAGUCGAGCGGAUGAAGGGAGCUUGCUCCUGGAUUCAGCGGCGAACGGGUGAGUAAUGCCUAGGAAUCUGCCUGGUAGUGGGGGAUAACGUCCGGAAACGGGCGCUAAUACCGCAUACGUCCUGAGGGAGAAGGUGGGGGAUCUUCGGACCUCACGCUAUCAGAUGAGCCUAGGUCGGAUUAGCUAGUUGGUGGGGUAAAGGCCUACCAAGGCGACGAUCCGUAACUGGUCUGAGAGGAUGAUCAGUCACACUGGAACUGAGACACGGUCCAGACUCCUACGGGAGGCAGCAGUGGGGAAUAUUGGACAAUGGGCGAAAGCCUGAUCCAGCCAUGCCGCGUGUGUGAAGAAGGUCUUCGGAUUGUAAAGCACUUUAAGUUGGGAGGAAGGGCAGUAAGUUAAUACCUUGCUGUUUUGACGUUACCAACAGAAUAAGCACCGGCUAACUUCGUG
This 484-nucleotide ribosomal RNA is filed under the name uncultured bacterium. RNAcentral's name for it is "partial 16S ribosomal RNA". It matches the Rfam family "Bacterial small subunit ribosomal RNA", at positions 30 to 507 of the family's 1533-position model. The record is from RNAcentral.